Molecule: long non-coding RNA, 83 nt
Organism: Chrysoperla carnea
Lineage: Eukaryota; Metazoa; Arthropoda; Insecta; Neuroptera; Chrysopidae
Exons: 3
Source: RefSeq, a predicted model, not a curated record
ACUAAUUAAUCUACAAUUAAUACAAUCAUCCUAGAUCUUUAAAUCGCAUUUUUGGGGGGAAACCCAACUUUUUGGUUACGGUU